GACGAACGCUGGCGGCGUGCUUAACACAUGCAAGUCGAACGGAAAGUCCCUGCUUUUGUGGGGUGCUCGAGUGGCGAACGGGUGAGUAACACGUGAGUAACCUGCCCUUGACUUUGGGAUAACUUCAGGAAACUGGGGCUAAUACCGGAUAGGAGAUCCUGCUGCUUGGUGGGGGUUGGAAAGUUUCGGCGGUUGGGGAUGGACUCGCGGCUUAUCAGCUUGUUGGUGGGGUAGUGGCUUACCAAGGCUUUGACGGGUAGCCGGCCUGAGAGGGUGACCGGCCACAUUGGGACUGAGAUACGGCCCAGACUCCUACGGGAGGCAGCAGUGGGGAAUAUUGCACAAUGGGCGGAAGCCUGAUGCAGCAACGCCGCGUGCGGGAUGACGGCCUUCGGGUUGUAAACCGCUUUCGCCUGUGACGAAGCGUGAGUGACGGUAAUGGGUAAAGAAGCACCGGCUAACUACGUG
RNAcentral lists this ribosomal RNA (468 nucleotides) under uncultured bacterium. Its description in RNAcentral is "partial 16S ribosomal RNA". It matches the Rfam family "Bacterial small subunit ribosomal RNA", at positions 28 to 507 of the family's 1533-position model. The record is from RNAcentral.